Molecule: ribosomal RNA, 429 nt
Filed under: Pseudomonadota bacterium
Lineage: Bacteria; Pseudomonadati; Pseudomonadota
Description: Proteobacteria bacterium partial 16S ribosomal RNA
Rfam family: Bacterial small subunit ribosomal RNA
Source: RNAcentral
UGGGGAAUAUUGGACAAUGGGCGAAAGCCUGAUCCAGCCAUGCCGCGUGUGUGAAGAAGGUCUUCGGAUUGUAAAGCACUUUAAGUUGGGAGGAAGGGCAGUAAGCGAAUACCUUGCUGUUUUGACGUUACCGACAGAAUAAGCACCGGCUAACUCUGUGCCAGCAGCCGCGGUAAUACAGAGGGUGCAAGCGUUAAUCGGAAUUACUGGGCGUAAAGCGCGCGUAGGUGGUUCGUUAAGUUGAAUGUGAAAGCCCCGGGCUCAACCUGGGAACUGCAUCCAAAACGGGCGAGCUAGAGUAGGGCAGAGGGUGGUGGAAUUACCUGUGUAGCGGUGAAAUGCGUAGAUAUAGGAAGGAACACCAGUGGCGAAGGCGACCACCUGGGCUCAUACUGACGCUGAGGUGCGAAAGCGUGGGGAGCAAACAGG